CCUACGGAAGGCAGCAGUGGGGAAUAUUGGACAAUGGGCGAAAGCCUGAUCCAGCCAUGCCGCGUGUGUGAAGAAGGCCUUCGGGUUGUAAAGCACUUUCAGUGGGGAAGAAAGCCUUGGGGCUAAUACCCUCGAGGAAGGACAUCACCCACAGAAGAAGCACCGGCUAACUCCGUGCCAGCAGCCGCGGUAAUACGGAGGGUGCGAGCGUUAAUCGGAAUUACUGGGCGUAAAGCGCGCGUAGGCGGUCUGAUAAGCCGGUUGUGAAAGCCCCGGGCUCAACCUGGGAACGGCAUCCGGAACUGUCAGGCUAGAGUGCAGGAGAGGAAGGUAGAAUUCCCGGUGUAGCGGUGAAAUGCGUAGAGAUCGGGAGGAAUACCAGUGGCGAAGGCGGCCUUCUGGACUGACACUGACGCUGAGGUGCGAAAGCGUGGGUAGCAAACAGGAUUAGAUACCCUAGUAGUC
RNAcentral lists this ribosomal RNA (465 nucleotides) under Vreelandella stevensii. RNAcentral describes it as "partial 16S ribosomal RNA". It matches the Rfam family "Bacterial small subunit ribosomal RNA", at positions 338 to 795 of the family's 1533-position model. Lineage: Bacteria; Pseudomonadati; Pseudomonadota; Gammaproteobacteria; Oceanospirillales; Halomonadaceae. The record is from RNAcentral.